Molecule: long non-coding RNA, 1860 nt
Organism: Pyrus x bretschneideri (Chinese white pear)
Lineage: Eukaryota; Viridiplantae; Streptophyta; Magnoliopsida; Rosales; Rosaceae
Exons: 3
Source: RefSeq, a predicted model, not a curated record
AUUUGAAAUUCAUUGUGACCCUUAGAUUAGUCAUCCCACAAAUAAGGGUCACAAUAAAUCGCAAUUUACACUUCCACCAAAAAUGAAAAUCACAAUUAAAAAAUAUUAAAAUUGACAAACACUCUAGAUAAGAUUGAAUUCUCUAUCACGUUGGCACACUAAGCACUGUCACAGUUGCGGCGGUUGCAAAAGAGGAACAAUGGGUUACUCCAUCACCUAUGCAUACAAAAGAGGAAACAAACCCACUUUUGUCUUCUGCACAGAUCCCCUUUCUUCCGCGUGGUUUUUUUCAAAAUCUCCUCUGCAUCCACACUCGAUUUAGACAAGAUUUCAGUUUAUUGUGUUGGAUCCUAUCAUCAUUUACAAUUCAUAACAAGAAGCUUCCUUUGCAAUCACAAACAGUUGCUUGGUUUCAUAGAAAACGUAAGCUUCUGAAAUUUAAUGCAAUUUCCAAAUAUUCGAACAAACUUAUGCUAAGUACUUUUCUUUAGUAGCAUAAAAUUGUAGCUUAGUAAGAAAACCCAUGAGUUUGACUUUACUCAGUUUUGACUUUAUACUACUUCCUUGCGACUCAAUUAAACUGAAGACCACAAAACAUUAUUAUUGGAUGUCGAUUGAAUUUUGUUUUGAUAUUAGGUGUUAGCUGUUAUGUAUUUAGCACAUUUUAUCAAAUAUGUCUUUUCACAAGUCGAAUUUAAUUAAAUUGGUAUUGAACAAUAUUAUUUUAGUGGAUUUGUUUAAAAAGUGUAAUUAAUUUCUUAUUGAGUAUAAAUCUAUCUAUUUACACAUACUUCAUCUAAAUCAAUGGAGAUCUCACGAUGGCACUCUGUGUACGUGUUCACUUCCAAAGUAGUUUGGUUUUAAUUAUUUAUGUAAUACAGUUGAUGUACUAACUGAUUAGUUUCCAAAAGGAAUUCUUUUCUCAUGCGUAUGAAAGUAGCGCCCGUGAUUGGCUUUCAGAUUUACUAUACAAAUUUAUUACAAAAAUCUUUUUAUUAUACAAAAGUUCACUACUCAAAUGAAAUAUACUAGCCUCUCUGCACACAUUCAUGUGCAAGAGUGAGAUGACUUUUUUUAAUCACGGGUGUGUUUUUCAUUCUAAUUUGUUUGAACAAAUCGACUAAUUGUUUUAUUUACUAAACUGGUCCAAGCUUGAUAUUCUUUUAAUUAGUGUAGACGAAUUCACUAAAAUCAUUCCAGUACUCUACAGGUUCAACAUUUAGAAGUUGUUAUAUUAAAUGUUAGUGUGAAUCUACAUACGGAAUUGACUUCACACACUUCCAUUGAGUUUAUGGUGGAAAGAUUUGAUGUGGCCAAGCGAACCAUUAGGUAUUCAUCUCUGCGUUUUUUUUCUUCUUUUAAGAAAUUUUAUUUCAUUUCACAGUUUCAAUGUAUUCAUUGAGGUAGUUGGUGGAGGAGAAGACUACUACUGUAUGAACAAUACAACUCAUGAUCAUUAUUCGAAAGAGAGAAUUCCACAAGAAAUGCAACAAAAAGUGAAGAUGACGCCACCUAAAGAAGAGCCACCUAGCAGACAUGUUUCUAUUUUUUCACCUACUUGGGGCAUCUCCGUUAGGGUAAAAAUUGUUGAUCUUAGUAAACUAAUUCUCAAAGAGUUCAAAAAGAAGAAGCACGAACAAUAUGUAUUCCUUAGCUAUCUUUUUAUUUUAAUGAAUUAAAAUUAGGAAGGAAACAUGCCUUAUACAUAGAUUAUUCAUAUAGGUGGUGCAUGAAAAAUGCUUUGACAGAAAUGAAAACUGCUACUACUCCUCACUUCAUACGAACCUACAAAGAGGUUCAACAAAUUAGGUACAAUCCUGAUUGUCAAGCAUAUCUAUCUUUGACAGUAUUAUUUCUUUA